AUUGAACGCUGGCGGCAUGCCUUACGCAUGCAAGUCGAACGGCAGCACGGGAGCAAUCCUGGUGGCGAGUGGCGAACGGGUGAGUAAUAUAUCGGAACGUGCCCAGUCGUGGGGGAUAACGUAGCGAAAGCUACGCUAAUACCGCAUACGAUCUAUGGAUGAAAGCGGGGGAUCGCAAGACCUCGCGCGAUUGGAGCGGCCGAUAUCAGAUUAGGUAGUUGGUGAGGUAAAGGCUCACCAAGCCAACGAUCUGUAGCUGGUCUGAGAGGACGACCAGCCACACUGGAACUGAGACACGGUCCAGACUCCUACGGGAGGCAGCAGUGGGGAAUUUUUGGACAAUGGGCGCAAGCCUGAUCCAGCAAUGCCGCGUGCAGGAUGAAGGCCUCGGUUGUAAC
Molecule: ribosomal RNA, 398 nt
Filed under: uncultured bacterium
Lineage: Bacteria
Description: bacterial SSU rRNA
Rfam family: Bacterial small subunit ribosomal RNA
Source: RNAcentral